UACGUAGGGGGCAAGCGUUGUCCGGAUUUAUUGGGCGUAAAGAGCGUGUAGGCGGCCAAGCAGGUCCGCUGUGAAAACUCGAGGCUCAACCUCGAGACGUCGGUGGAAACCGUUUGGCUAGAGUCCGGAAGAGGAGAGUGGAAUUCCCGGUGUAGCGGUGAAAUGCGCAGAUAUCGGGAAGAACACCCGUGGCGAAGGCGGCUCUCUGGGACGGUACUGGCGCUGAGACGCGAAAGCGUGGGGAGCGAACAGG
This 253-nucleotide ribosomal RNA is filed under the name uncultured bacterium. RNAcentral describes it as "partial 16S ribosomal RNA". It matches the Rfam family "Bacterial small subunit ribosomal RNA", at positions 524 to 776 of the family's 1533-position model. The record is from RNAcentral.